Pyrus x bretschneideri (Chinese white pear) is the source of this 103-nucleotide small nucleolar RNA. RefSeq annotates it as small nucleolar RNA Z103. NCBI's taxonomy places the organism in Eukaryota, Viridiplantae, Streptophyta, Magnoliopsida, Rosales, Rosaceae. The record is from RefSeq and is a predicted model, not a curated record. The transcript has a single exon.
AUGGAAGUGAUCAUUAUUUCUCCAAAUGAUGGAGCCUGAAAUAAGUUAGCAAAUUGUGUCUUUGUGUUGCAAAGAGGCACCGAACUAGCUAUAUCUGAUCCAU